UCAGCGCAGACGUAGCAUCAGGCAUAACAGAAGAUGAAUUUUCCCAUCAUGACGUAAAAACACAAUUUAAUGAGACAGAAAUUAAAGUAUCAUCGAGAGUGAAAAACUUUAAUGGUAUAACACUGGUAACGUUAACGUUCUGUCCUGAAUGGAUAUUACAGUAUACAAGGAAAGGGGCUAUAUUAACUGCAGACAAAGACUCAAUCACAGAUCAACAAUCAGAAUAUUUACGGAUUAUAGAAGGUCAGUUUAGCAGAGAUGAGAAUGAUACUCUUUACACCAGACUUGAUUUUGGACCUAUAGCUACACAAGAGUUUACAUUACAGUCACUAUGUGGUAUAGACUUAUCACAUGAUGUCAAAAUAACAGAAUUCCAUCUGCAGAGGGCCGCCAUGUUUUAUCACAAUCAUGAUUCAUACGGUGGUUAUUAUAGGCAUGGUUUGAUUCACGCUCCAUAUAUGAUAGUAAAAGGAUAUUGGUACGAUGAUGAUACUCUGGAAUCAACGACACAAGUCUCCACCAGUUCUACAAUACCAGAAAGCAGUAGUAUAACAAGUGAUAUUUCAAACGAAAAUAUCACAAAAACGUCGUUACUAAGAGAAGAAUGUAUUGCCACCGAAGCGUACUCAGUUCAACAAAAUGGCCAACCAUUUCAAUGUAAAUGUUUUCCAGAGCCAAACAUCACCAUGUCAGCUAAGUUAGUAGAGGAAAUAAAAGAUGCCAUUAGUGCAAAUCUAUCCGUUAAAACCAAUACUUUGUCUUCGACCACUAGAACGAAAAUAUCAGCCCAGGAUGACCGUAGUUCAUCUAAAACUAUUGGCUUAUUGGGUAGUAUUUUGCUAGGUUUAGAAUUUGCUUUACUUGUAUUUCUAGAUUCAACAUAUUUAAUACAAGGAAUGCAUAAUCUAUAUAAUAAGAUUAAACAUCGCCAUAUUGGUAUUAAUGAGGCGAUCUUGUGAUAAAAUCUUAACCGGUGGCUUAAUAACAAAUAAAAAAUGUACAAAAUUUAUUGUGGUUACAAGUUCAAAUACCAACCAAUAUAAAUAGACGUACAUAAUGUAGUCAAAUAAUAACUUUUCGCAUGGCUAACUAGUUUAAAACCAAAAUAAUGAAAUUGUUCUUCUUUAAUUGUUUGGUUCUUUACUCAAUUUACUCAAAGUAUUGGACGAGAGGCUGAAAUUGGGAGUUCGGGUAGAUAGAAAUGAUAAAAAUUAUAUUCUAAUGCAGGUCACCAUUAAUACAGAUUAAUGGAAAUCCCCAAAGAUCUCGUUAUGGCUUCGAUUUUGGCACAUGUCGGAUCGUAACUACCAGGAUGUUGAGCUUUUCAACGAUUUACUUAUUCAGCGAUCAGUUACAUUGUACCUUCCGUUCCAUAAACGUUGUAAACGCGAGAGAGGCUGCAGUUCUUAAAAUAUUUCUUUAAAACUCAAAGUUGAGCAUUGGCACUAUGAGAGGAUGAGCCCUAUCGAAGUUUUCAUCCCAUCUCUUGCAAAAUGUGGGCGUAUUUUGCAAGCCGACCGCUAGUUGUAAUGUGUGAAAGAUAUGACAAUCUCCGAAUUUCUGUAAAAUUCAAAAUUCACUCCACCUUAUGAAUAUGACAUAUAUUAUAGCCGAACAUCCUUAACACCGAUACUAUAUCUUAUAAGGCACCUUUAACCAAGAUGGUGGUGGCAAAAAAUCCGUUUCUCGACCGUCUAUUCUCUGCAUAUGCAUGGUUGACUCUCCGAAUAACAAACACAGAUAUAGAGAAGAGAAAUGAAUAUUUCUCGCUCACCCUACACGGGUGAUUUUCGUUAGUAAUGCAACGCGAAUUUAAUUAAAUUACAAUUUAGUGCUCUUACUCACCUUUUAAUAAUUCCAUAUCUCUAUUUGAUUAUAAUGAUACUCAAUUUUAUUUUUUCCAACACAACGACGUACAGUUUCGCUCCUUGUAAAGUACCGAUAUUCCUUUUGCGGACCCGGGGGGGGGGGGGGGGCUAAAAGAACUGUAUAAAAUUGUAUUAUCCCGUUUCAAAGAAAGGUGUAAAUUUGAGCUUAUUGUCGGUUAUGUUGAUAUAGCUUUAAUGUUAUAUUCGGGUACAGAUGUGCACCAUGAAUAACCAUUGACACCUCGAUUUUUCAGAAUUUUCUUGGAGGAGGUCC
Molecule: long non-coding RNA, 2142 nt
Organism: Patella vulgata (common limpet)
Lineage: Eukaryota; Metazoa; Mollusca; Gastropoda; Patellidae
Exons: 4
Source: RefSeq, a predicted model, not a curated record